RNAcentral lists this small nuclear RNA (116 nucleotides) under Marmota marmota marmota (Alpine marmot). Its description in RNAcentral is "U5 spliceosomal RNA (ENSMMMG00000022682.1)". It matches the Rfam family "U5 spliceosomal RNA". Rfam says of the family: U5 RNA is a component of both types of known spliceosome. Lineage: Eukaryota; Metazoa; Chordata; Mammalia; Rodentia; Sciuridae. RNAcentral also lists the same sequence under 1 other name. The record is from Rfam by way of RNAcentral.
AUAUUCUGGUUUCUCUUCAGAUUGUAUAAAUCUUUCACCUUUUACUGAAGAUUUCCAUGGAGAGGAAUAAUUCUGAGUCUUAACCCAAUUUUUUGAGGCCUUGCAUUUGCAGGGCU